Hypanus sabinus (Atlantic stingray) is the source of this 565-nucleotide long non-coding RNA. RefSeq lists it as uncharacterized. The record is from RefSeq and is a predicted model, not a curated record. The transcript has 4 exons. NCBI's taxonomy places the organism in Eukaryota, Metazoa, Chordata, Chondrichthyes, Myliobatiformes, Dasyatidae.
GCUGGAGGAGCUCAUAAAGUCAGACAACAUCAAUGGAGGGAAAUGAACAGAUAACCUUUCGAGCCAAGACCCUUCAACAACACCAGAAAGAGUGGGGUCAGAACCAGAAUAAAAGAGGAGGAGGGGGAGCCGACAGAGUACCCCACUGCUUCUUGGAGACACAAAGACUUCAAGUGCUGGCAGCUGGAACAACAGUCUGCUGGAGGAACUCAGUGGUGAAACAGCAUCUGUGGAAAGAAAGAUAUGCAGGAUUUUGACUCGAAACACUCUCAACUCCUUUGUUCCCGUGAAUGCUUCUCCACCUGAUUUGCUGAGUAUGUCCACAGGAAAAAGGAAUUUCCGGGUUGUAUGCAGUGACAUGAAAUGAAAACUCCUUAGAAUUAUGGGUACAACUCUUGCCUGCUGAAGAAGCUGCAGAUGAUGGAAAUCAGAAGACUGCAAUGCUGGAAAACUGAAAUAAAUGAGGAAAGUGCUAGAAGAACUCUCUUGGCCAGUCAGCAUCUGUGGAAAGUGAAACCUACAAAGGAUCUUUGUGUGGAAACGUCAUCUCUUUGCACAAGGAGUA